This 464-nucleotide ribosomal RNA is filed under the name uncultured bacterium. Its description in RNAcentral is "partial 16S ribosomal RNA". It matches the Rfam family "Bacterial small subunit ribosomal RNA", at positions 28 to 507 of the family's 1533-position model. The record is from RNAcentral.
GACGAACGCUGGCGGCGUGCUUAACACAUGCAAGUCGAGCGGAAAGGCCCUGCUUGCAGGGUACUCGAGUGGCGAACGGGUGAGUAACACGUGGGUGAUCUGCCCUGCACUUCGGGAUAAGCCUGGGAAACUGGGUCUAAUACCGGAUAGGAGCCAUUUUUAGUGUGAUGGUUGGAAAGUUUUUUCGGUGUAGGAUGAGCUCGCGGCCUAUCAGCUUGUUGGUGGGGUAAUGGCCUACCAAGGCGGCGACGGGUAGCCGGCCUGAGAGGGUGGACGGCCACAUUGGGACUGAGAUACGGCCCAGACUCCUACGGGAGGCAGCAGUGGGGAAUAUUGCACAAUGGGCGCAAGCCUGAUGCAGCGACGCCGCGUGGGGGAUGACGGCCUUCGGGUUGUAAACUCCUUUCGCUAGGGACGAAGCUUUUGUGACGGUACCUAGAUAAGAAGCACCGGCUAACUACGUG